CCUACGGGAGGCAGCAGUGGGGAAUUUUGGACAAUGGGCGCAAGCCUGAUCCAGCAAUGCCGCGUGCAGGAUGAAGGCCUUCGGGUUGUAAACUGCUUUUGUACGGAGCGAAAAGGUCACCUCUAAUACAGGGGGCUCAUGACGGUACCGUAAGAAUAAGCACCGGCUAACUACGUGCCAGCAGCCGCGGUAAUACGUAGGGUGCGAGCGUUAAUCGGAAUUACUGGGCGUAAAGCGUGCGCAGGCGGUUCUAUAAGACAGUUGUGAAAUCCCCGGGCUCAACCUGGGAAUUGCAUCUGUGACUGUAGGGCUAGAGUACGGCAGAGGGGGAUGGAAUUCCGCGUGUAGCAGUGAAAUGCGUAGAUAUGCGGAGGAACACCGAUGGCGAAGGCAAUCCCCUGGGCCUGUACUGACGCUCAUGCACGAAAGCGUGGGGAGCAAACAGGAUUAGAUACCCUGGUAGUCCACGCCCUAAACGAUGUCAACUGGUUGUUGGGAAUUUACUUUCUCAGUAACGAAGCUAACGCGUGAAGUUGACCGCCUGGGGAGUCGGCCGCAAGGUUGAAACUCAAAGUAGUAGUACGGCGNGNGAGAGCGACGACGACGACGACGGAGGGAGGAG
Molecule: ribosomal RNA, 622 nt
Filed under: uncultured bacterium
Lineage: Bacteria
Description: bacterial SSU rRNA
Rfam family: Bacterial small subunit ribosomal RNA
Source: RNAcentral